Molecule: long non-coding RNA, 718 nt
Organism: Pristis pectinata (smalltooth sawfish)
Lineage: Eukaryota; Metazoa; Chordata; Chondrichthyes; Rhinopristiformes; Pristidae
Exons: 2
Source: RefSeq, a predicted model, not a curated record
UGCACGAAUUUGUUGGUUUCUUUUGGGGGUUGCAACGUUAAUACCUGAUAGCUUUUUAGUUAAGGAAUCGAGUUUAUUAUCACUGUCUUGUAUAUCGUGAAACUUGUUGUUUUGCGGCAGCAGUACCGUGCAAAGACAUAAAAAUUGCUAAAUUAUAAAUACUACAAAAAGUAGUGUUUAUGGACUCUUCAUCAAUUUGAUGGUGAGGGGAAGAAGCUGUUUUUAAAUCGUUGAGUGUGUGGUUCUAGUGCAACCUCCCCAAUGAGAGGAGGCCAUGGUGAGAGUCCUUAAUGAUGGAUACUGCUUCUUGAGGCACUGCCUCUUGAAGAUGUCCUUGAUGGUGGGGAGGGUUGUGCCUGUGAUGGAGCAACAAACAAUCUGCUAGAAGAAUGAUGCAGGAUUUUGACAUGAAAUGUUGACAUCUCCUUUCCUCCUAGAAAUACUUCUUGACCUGCUGAGUUCUUCCAGCAGAUUUUGUUGCCCCAGAUUCUGACAUCUGCAAUUUCUAGUGUCUCUGCCUUGAGUUAAUAUGAUCUUAAUGAAUGUCUAAAGUUUAAUUGAAGUGCCUUGUUUUCCAGAGGCAUCAACAUUGAAAUAAGAUGGUUGCCAUUUCUGAAUUUUGUUUAAUGCUUUAAAAAUCAGGCUGGUACUGUGAUUAGAUGAAAUGUACUUUAGAUGUUGGAAAACUGAAAUAAAAAUGGAAAUAUUGAAAGCCUGA